ACAAUUCUCUUGGCAUCAAAACCUUACUUAUCUUAUACACUACAAAAGGAUCUUGAUCUAUUAAUGUACCAACAAUAUUUGCAGUGUUAACUUUGGUUUCAAGGUUAACAUCUUCACCAUCAUUUUGGACUGUGAAAUCAUAUUUGUUAUGGCCUUCUGUUGCUAAUGUGUUCAUUACACCAUUGUUUGAUUUCAACAUCUGUAAUGAUUGGUAAACUGGAACUCCGUGGUAUAAAAGGAGGGAAACCUUUUGAGAGUCUGUUAGGUUUUUGUACUUUGCAGAGAAACCGCUGACGGCGGUAUCUGUUGGACAGAAAACAGUUAAACCGCCGUCAACGGAUUCUUUGAAAGUAGGGAGUGCUUUUGAAACACGUAACAAAUCUGCGAAAGACUGACAACCUUGUUUUGACAUAAUUCCGAUUAAAUCAAUGUCACUUGGAGCUGCCGUCGGCGCUUCUGCGUCGGCGGAGCUUAAAGGAUUACUGAUUUGGAGAACGGAGAUGACAUAUGGAAGUUCUUCUACGGAUUUUACGUAGUAGGAAUGCAGACCGUCGUUGUCUUCGGCACCAAAACCGACUUUGCCACCUUUUAGGUUUGUGAUAUUCACGUAACCGGCGGUUCCAGCGGCGGAUCCAGUGGCUUGGAACAUGGAGGAGACAAGUGUGGUGCCGUCGGUGAUUUGGUGGAGUUUCUUGGCGCCGAAGUAGUCGACUAAAACAUGGAGGGAGAGGACAUUUUUGAGGGUGGUGAUGGAGAGGUGUUUGUCUAGGAGGGAGGACAUGGCGGCAUUGUCUAUGGCUAGGAUGGUUAUGGUUUGACGGCGGUUGAUUUCGUCGGCGAGGUGGGUUAUGGUGAGGUAGUGGUUGAAGGUGGAGAAGCCAGGGUGUUUGGCUAGAAUGCGGGUGAUGUUAUGGUUGCCGGAGGUGGCGGCAGCGGCGGUGGUGGAAUGAAUGAGUGAUAGUAUAAGUGUGAGGGAAAAUAGAACAAGUGGUGCUAGUUGUUGCUUCUUCAUUUUGGAAGAUAGUGGAAAGUGAAAGAAGCAACUAACUUAUGAAGGAGGGAAGAUGAGAGUGGUAUUAAUGUGUAUAUAUGUAUAUGUAUAUCUUUAUAUGACUAUACCUAUAUUAUUAUUUUUAUUCUUAUAUGCUAAUCAUGUCAUGUUAGAGAGAUUAAUCACUUGCAUGUUUGUGUCUAUGCUAAUGAUAUUAAAUAGGUGAAUGGUAUAUAGAUUUUGAUUUGGUGCAUUCAUUAAAUUGAUGGAGUAGAAUAUUAAUACUCGUUCGAUCAAGAUUGAAUGGUAUGAAUUAAAACUCUGUAUAUUUUGAGUUAUACAAAUAAAUUAUUAGAUUAAGAUCGGACGGUCAUCGAUGUUUUAGGAUAUUGAUUAGUGAAUGAAAUUGAAUUUGAUAGUAUAUGGUUUGUGUAGUGACAAAUAAUGCCAGGUUGGUAUUUGGUGGUAAAGGGACCCAUAAAGAUUGGAUGAUUCUCAUUAUUUGGGCAUAUUUUAAAGAGCAACAAGAUGCAGCUUUCACUCUUUCAUUGCAGAGAAUGGGUCAUAUGGGGCAUCCACCGACACUCUUUGACCCUACACUGUUCUAUAGUGCAGUACCGUUGGUGUUUGAUUAGAUUAACAUGUUUUAUUUUCUGUAUCUUAUGGGUGAAUUUAAUUUAAUUAAUUUAGGAGAGGACAAAUUUAAUUAACUGUUUCACGGACAAUUAUCAAGGUGCCUUUAAAGCAUAAUAAAUGUGAGUUUGAUUUUUGUUUUUUUGGGUAAGGGGGUUGAAAUCUGCACGAAGGCUAAAGCAACAUACCAAAUUCGUAAGUUUAACCGUAGGAUUUUUUGCUGUCAAAAGUUGAGAUCGAGGCAGUCAGUCACACAGUCAGUACAAUUGGAGUGACGAAUUAAAUUUUACUGCAAAUUUUGAUUUUGAUUUUUAAAAAGAUACCAAGUUAUAAAAUAUGAAAAGUCUGAUCUUAAUAAAAAAAAUUACAAUUAGUUGACUAUGUGAAUGCAACAAAUGAUAACCGCAAUCAAUCUCACUGUGUUGAGAAUUGUUGUUUACAUAUUUGAUAAGGCUGUGUCACACGAGUAAAUGACGUUUUUACCCCUUCAACAGUUAACUGCCGAAAUUUUAGAAAUCCGGCUGCAGUUAACUGCCAAAAAAAAAAAAAAAAAAAAACCUCGGCACUUAAGUGCCGAAGAACUAUCAAUUUUUUUUGAAAAUAUUAUGCUAUGCUUAGAGUAUACUGACUUUUAACAAAUAGUCCAUCAACAUCACAAACAGAAAAACUAAAAUUAAACAUUUAUUAAAAUUGAUGAGUUAUCAUUAUCAUCUUUACAUCAACUAUUAGUGUAACAGAAUACUUGCUAACUUCUCACCAAAAAAAAAAAAAAAUACUUGCUAACUAUCAAAUAACAUUAACUUAACUCUCUUCCGCACAAAGAAAGACCUCAUUGGAAAUUUGAUGAUAUUUAGAAAUUGGAUCAAAAGUACAACAUUGUACUAUCCAGGGAUCUUAGCUGUAGGAUAAACAUUAUGCUAUGCCAAGUCAAAUUUAGGAUAAAUUAAUAUGAUGAUUCUUGUUGUGUAUUUUUAUGUCUGUUAUGACUGUAGGAUAAGCGUAGCCUAAUAUUUUCAAAAAAAAUUGACGAGUUCUUCGGCACUUAAGUGCCGAGGUUUUUUUUUUUUUUUUUUUUUUUUUUUCCUCGGCAGUUAACUGCAGCCGGAUUUCUAAAACUUCGGCAGUUAACUGUCGAUGGGGUAAAAACGUCAUUUACUCGUGUGGCAUAACCUUAUCAAAUGUGUAAACAGCAAUUCUCCACUAUGUUUGAUUGUAGAAUUUGUAUUUGGUACAUUUGCUAUGUCAUACAACUUCUAAUAUUCAUUGUGUGAUCUUGAAUUAAAGGUAGAGAAUGUUGAAAGUUGAUUUUAUUAUUUGUAAAUUGUAAUUUUAGCUAUUCGAUCACAAAUAAGGACAUGACCAAGUACUUGCACAAGGGGUUGUUGCCACCUCUACACCCCAUAGACACAUAAGAAGAGAAUCCAUUUUCGAUGAGAAUCUUGAACUGACAAUUUAGAAUACAUAAGUUUUAUGCCCCUUGAAGGUUAUUAUUGGUUUAGUAAUUCAGUUUAGUUAGAAUUAGUUUUGUCUUUUGUUUUAGAAACUUGCAAUUAAAGUAACUAAAUCAAGUUAGUUGCAUGUGAAGUAAUAAGUUUGUUAAGAGUUUGUUUUGGUUUGUUUCACUAGUUUGUUACAUCACUUGAUGUAUAUAUAGGUUCAUAUACCUUGUAAAUACUAAUUCCAAUUCAUUCAAUAAAUUUCACAAGUCUUUUACUCAUAUCUCUCUCUCUCUCUCUCUCUCAAACCAAUAGAAACCCUAGAAUCUCAAUUCAAUCUUCUUCAAUUGAACACAGUUUUAAGUGUUGGUUUCAUUCAAUUUUCAUACAUUGUUCCAUCAGUUCUCAUAAUUGAGAACAAAGUUAUUGGGAAAACUUCCAUUCACCCUACCCAAAUGUUGCAUAAACAUAGUCACAAUUAUUGGGAAAACUUCCAUUAACCCUGCCCAAAUGUUGCAACAUGUAUCACUUACUAGUCCCUUUCGAGAGGACGUUCUCAUAAUAAUUGGUAGUAACAAACAUUUGAUAUUUUAUUUUAGGGAAAUGUUAAAGAGUGUCUUUAUAAAGUAUUAUAAAGAGCUACCAUAUUUGGUUUCUUUAACAAGUAUCUUUAUGAUACUUGUUAGCAAGACCUUUUAUUUUAAUAUUCCCUCCAUUACACCAAAAUUUAUCUAUAUGCAAAAACGAGUAUAAUUGAAACUCUCGACUAUUUGUUUUAGGUGUCCUAAAUGUCUCUAAUAUCAAAUCAGCCAUUUCAACCUUGAAUCGAAAUCUACUUUAGAUAUAGAUUGACUAAAGAGCAAUGAUAUAUGUCCUAAAUGGGAGCAUUGUGAAUUCAUCACGAGAAAGAAAGGAACCUAUCGAUCACGUUGCUCUAUUUACCGCAAUACAAGGAAGUGAUGUGGAAAUCUUGAAAUCAAGUAAAUAACCUUUCAAUGAAAACACGCUACCUGUGCCAGGAAACAAUCAUAAGAUGACUCUCGCUAUCAAUAGCAUUUUCCUUGACUAAAACUUUAAUCGGGUUAAACCAUAAUUAGUUAAUCGGUUUGAAUUUUUGUAUUUAUUUUUUUUUCUUUUUAUUUAUUUAUACGGUUCAACAGUAAUUGAACCCGAUAAAGCAAAUGAACUAUGAUGUACAUGUCUUAUUGAUUCAAUAGCUAAUAGCCGAACAUGUUUUUUAAAAAUACAUGUUAUUUACCGUGAGGUUUUUCUUAUCUAGAAUGCAUCAAGAGUCACCAUUAACCAACACAAUGUCAUUGUGGCAGGAAAACACAUCCGUAAUAGGUGUAAUUGUAGUCGGGACGUCCAAUGUAUUUGGAAGCUUAAAACGAAUUUUAAAUCGAAGUUUUUUAAGUGUAUCGAUGACAAUAGAUAAAAACUUAAAAAUUAAGAAAUUUUAAUAGCUUUAUUUGAUUGAAAGUAAUUCUAUUCAAAACGUGCAGUAAAUUACAUGUAUGAUAUCUCUCUCAAUCAAAAGUAAUAGGUUUGUCAAGUUGUAAGUCUAACUCUUUUUGCUAGACUCAAUUCCACUAGUUCAAGAACCAGUUUUUUUAAUAAUAAAAAUUACUUUAAUUACUUUAAUUAUUUAUCUAUUGUUAGAUCUGAAAAUAGCAAAUUAAUAUUGAAUUCUGAAACAAAUAAAAAUUACUUUUAUACUAUGCAAACUUUGAUUUUGCAUAUUACUUGUCUUACUAUAUUUUCAACAAAAAUAUCAGAUUAAUAUAAAUGUGAAGAAAAUAAGAGUUUAAGAUACGCAAAACCAGUUAACCAACAAGCCUUGGAAUCGACUUGCAACAUCCACUACAAUUCUCCAUUUAACAUCCACAAGAGCUAAGCUAGGAACAAACAUGUUUAAAUAAUAGGACUUUGGAAAAAAUGUUUAAAGCUAAAAAGAUCUGGGGUCUAAUACAAGAGCUAACAUUUUUGAGGGCUAAAGUCUUUAUUUUAGUGACAACCCUUUGGAUAGCAUGUGAAUUGUGGUUAAACUUUCAACUAUGAAGCAAUAACAACCUUCGAUCAUGUAAUGAUUUUUGCCCACUAUAUGUGACACAGACGGAAUCAAAGUCUAGCAAGCGCUCUAAAUCUGUUAAAAGUGUUUCCAAAAUUUACCAGAAAAUUGAGAAAAGUUCUAUGUAAUUUUAUUGAAUGAAAAAUUACUUCUUAGGCUACAACUGUUAAACUUAAAUACUAGGGAUAUUACAAAACCCUAUUGGACCAAAAAUCCAAAUAGAAAACAAAAUAGACAAAUAAUAAAAUUAUGCUGAAAUAAUAAAAUUUGAUUUUGGGUCUUCAGAUGAAUCCAUGUGGCUUAAAUUAUCAUGCAUCAAUGUAAUGUUAGAUUAAUUAUUUAAUUAAUCAAUUAUGGAUUGACAAUAAUCAAUUAUUAUAAGUUAAUAUUAUAAUAUAAAUUAUGGUCUAUUGAGUUAAGCACUAGUUAGUUGAUGAAUAUGUGUGAUUGGACUAUUCUUUUUAAAUGAACCGUGAUGAGUUGGACCAUUUAGCUAAGCCCAAUGAAAGGUCCCUGCCCUCAGCCGUUUAGCUAUUUAAAUGUCAUCCCAUCAGACGGUUAAACAUUCUGAUCAGUAUGGGGCAAACCUAAACGGAAUGAGGUUAGUCAUCCCUCUCAUAACUUGAUGGCGGUCGUUCAUGAAUCUAAACAUACAAGGUACACAAAUUCUUCUUCCUUCUUUGUUACUGAUAUACUAUAACUUGUAUCUAGUGAUCCAUGGCUACACUCUUAAACUUUAAUCAUGUAAAACAACGAGUUCUACUCUUCCCUUUUCGAAAAGAUAUAAUUUAAGUCAAUCAAACAUCAUAUGCAAAUUUACACUAUUUUCAUUGAACCCUUCUUACGCGUCACUUCGCCUUCAGUACGUGCAGCCAGUCUUCCUAUAUCAAUGUGUUAAGCAUCUCCAUUUAAAAAAUUUACUCGGUUCCUUUCACUCAGAUCAAUUACUUGAAUAUUAUUAUGAAGUCUAUUAUUUUGUUAAAUUAAUAUUGACUUUAAAUACAAAGGUUUAAUAGCAGUUUUCGUCCCCUAACUUUUACGAAGUUGCGAUUUUGAUCCCGUAAGAAAAAAAACUACAAAACCGCCUCCUUAGUUUUGCAACUGUAGCAGUUUUUGCUCCCCAAGACCAAAAAAAUUAAAAAAAAUAACACGCGGCACCUCACUUAGGGUGCCACGUCAGCGUAGACUGAGUCAAAAUUGAUAUCGGGGGCCAAAACUGCUACAGGUGCAAAACUUAGGCGCGGUUUUGUAGUUUUUUUUUAGGGGGCAAAAAUCGUAACUUUGAAAAAGUUAGGGGACUAAAACUGCUAUUAAGCAAUAAUUUUUUUUUAGGGGAACGUUAAAACUAUUGCUGGUUGAUAAAUAUUAAAUCAUCAUCAUUAUCAUUUAUAUAAAGACCAAAUUAGCUUUUGCCAGUUAUGACAAUUUUGUCUCAAUACUCCAAUAAUCUAGCUGGAACAUUUUUUUCCUUUUUGAAUACUGGGAAUCCAAAUAAUAGCUCAAAAAUAUAUUAUUAUUUAUAUUCUGAAUUGGUUGUUAUAGAGUUGUCAUCACUUGCCAUUCUCAUGAUCUUCUUCUUCACAACAGUUAAAGGAAAGUCCACCAAAUUGGGAAUAAAAAGCAUCAAAUAGCACUGGAGUGGGUCAUCCAAUACUUGACUAACUUAAUAUUAUUCAAAACGAGUAAGUUGGUAAAACAGUGACUUAUUAAAAAAGAAAGCUACAAAAGUUACUACAGAGGACACUGAUUCGUUUCUUUGUAUUUGGUUUAGGGAUAAAUUAACCCAUGCAUGUUAAACUAGCUGUAACAAUGUCAGGCAAAAGAGACAAGUUUGGUCAGCAUUUAAUAAAGUUCGAAAACUAGAACAUGUAACAGACUAACAGCUGCUUGCAAAAUGCAAAAUCAUAUAGUACUACCGUCUAAAACUUGUAUGUCAGGUCUAGCUCACCAUUUGAUGACACUUACAUUAGUAUAGUUGAACAUGCAUUUCUAUAAAAGUAUACUGUACAAAUGCAGUUUUUUAACAAGAAAUAUAUUUGGGUAAAUGAUCACUUUAAUCUCAGGUUCUACACCUCGUUAUUACAAAGGUAUCUUAUUCAAGAUUAAAUACAAAAUAGUCUUUGCAUGUGUAGUACCGUUAUCAGUUUAGUCCCUAACGUUAAAAACUUUUGUUAACUGAUGAGGUGGCGUGCAAGAGGUAGUCCAUGUGACACCUCAUGCAUGCUACUUCAUCAAAUAACAUAAGUUUUUAACGUUAGAGACUAAACUGAUAACAGAACUACACAUUCAGAAACUACUAUGUAUUUAAUCUUGAGUGAGAUAUCUUUCUUCCAGCAAAAUGCAUAACCAUGAACCAAAGUAACCAUUUACUCAAUAUAUUUUGGCACAAAAUUUUAACAAAAGAUUCGGCAACAGUUUUGAUGGUUAAAGUAGUCUAAAUACAGGUUAAUUAAGGCGUUGCAAUUCAUUAGUUAUCUAUUUAUAUAUAAGUAAGCACAAUUAUAAAUGUAUAUUUGAACACAAAUUAUGAUUAAUAGAUCUCAUUUAUAUUUGAAUAUCCAAACAAUAUGAAAAUAAGAACAUAAUUUAGAUAGAGGUUGAAUAGCUCAAUUGAUUUUAAUUAAAGGGUAAGGAGUUGGGAGAUCCAUGGUUUAAGUUUCAACAAUGAAAAAAACUAACAUAAUAAUUAACAUAACAACAUUUGACAUCAAGAGAAAAGAGCAUAAUGACAUUCACAAUUUUGAUUGAUUGUGUUCAAUUGAUAUAUUGUUAAUGAGAUUUGAUAUUUUAUUAUAUUUACGAUGACACAAUUUCAGAAAAGGAUUCUCUAGAAUGGAGAUAAAUGGAUUGAAGGGUGGAGAUUUUUCAAGAAAACAUGAGAGAGCAAGACUUAGAGAAUCUCCUCCCCAAAAUUUGGUGUCAAAUAACACAACAAUUUCUUUGUCAUAAUAGGCUCCCAACUAACAUUAUAUUUCUUCCAUACAAUGUAUACUCUAUAUAUAUAACAUAAAGUUUGGUUGUAAAAAAAAAUAAAAAUACGAAAGUUACUCAAAAAAAUUUACUAAAAUUAUUACUUUUUUUUGAAGGAAUACUAAAAUUAUUACUUUUUUUUGAAGGAAUACUAAAAUUAUUACUUGUUUUUUUUUGAAGGAAAAUUAUUACUUGUAGUUAGGACUAAAUUUAGUUGGAUAAUGUUUCAUGAACACCCUUUUCUCUAUACACACAUUGUACCACUUUCAUGUGAUAGUGUUUGAGAGACACAAAAGAUGAAUUUCUUGUGUGUGUAGAGACCACAUGGACACAUGUCACAAUUAUAUGUGGGUGUACAAGUGGUAUAUACCACCUAAGAUGGUUUAUGUAUCACUACCCAAUUUAGUUUGGACACGCACUAUCCUUUUCAAUACAAUAAUCAGUGGGGUAGGUAGGACUAUACCAGGGCUGAUAGUGGUCGUGGUCUCAAUUUUUGUUUUUUGUACUAAAUUUGUUUAAACAAUGAAAUUGUACUAUUAGUUUUACAUUUCAAUUCUCCAAUGCUCCACUCUUUGACAUGGCAAUCACAAUUCUGGCUGCAAAUUAUAUUCAAUGGACUAGGCACCACCAAUGCUAAAUUUCUGGCACUAUCAAUGCUAAAUUUCUGGCUCUGCCCAACCAAUGAUAAAUCACUUACGAUCAAAAUUACAUUUAACAGAAAUUAAUUCUCCUACAUCGCGAUCAAACACACCUUAAAAGACCAUCCACAACAGAGCGGUAAUACUUGAUAAACACCAAUUUUCUCCAACUCAUUCCUCAAAAGAAAUUAUUAACUAGGCCCACAAAUAACCCUAUACCAUUACAUUUUUAACAAAAUUUAUUCAUUUUACAAAGAUUUAUUAAAUGGGACCCAUGAAAAUUGAAGAGUGGGAGGGAGGGUGCUUCCAUAGCCAACCUACUCCAUAAGCACCCAUAUGUUAUACUCCACAAUGAGGGUGCUUAUUUAAUGUGGUGCUAAAUAGGUUAAGCACCCACCAUUUGGAUGGUCUAAUAAGAUUUUAGAGUUUUAGUGUACAAUUUACCAACCGUUGUAAUAACAAGGUGAUCCACUUAGAAAAUUGAUCUUCAGCAUUUUAAAAUGACUCAUUACCUUAAUUCAACGUGAGUUAACUCACGCUCGACAUUUUUCAGCAUGCGUUAACUUGCGCCGGUACUUUUAAGAUCGGUUUAAUAAUUUUUAAGUUGGGUCAAUCGAUUUUAAAAGUGUCAGUGUGAGUAAACUCAUGUUGAAAAAUGUUGAAUGUGAAUUAACUUACGUCGAGAUAAGAGAAUGAGAAAUUUUAGAAGUGAAAAGAGCAAUUUUCUUCCACUUAUUAGCCUAGCAAGCCCAUUUGAAUAAAAGACAAACCCAAUUACAUUAAGGCACAAAUAAACUGUGUAAAGAUUUCAUAAAUACUUGACCAAAAAAAAUAAUUCAUAAAUUAAUAAAAAAAAAGUGUAAAAAAACCCUUUUUUUUACCACAUAAAAUAUACCGUGUAACAAAUACGAUAUGAGUAUGUGUCCAAUUUUUUUCUUUUUUCUUUAAAAAAUAGUGUAACAAACUAGAUCAAAUAUAUGUCAAUAUAAAUAUAAUUAAUAAGAAAAAGAUAAUUAUCAACGAUUCAAUGAGAUAUAAUAUUUACAAAGGAACAAUUACAGAGUAAAAUAAUAACUUUUAUCAUAUUCAUCAUCUCAAAUGUAAGUACUCUUAACAUAUGCGAGAUAAAAUAUUUAUUCUUGGAUAAUUGGUUAUGAAAUCAAGUAGCCAAAAUAAAUUUUUGUAUUUCAAUUUCAUAUAUGGAUCCUUUAUAUAUCUUUUUUUUUCUUCAUAUAUGUUGUUGUUUUACAAUUAGAUGAUGAAUAAACAAAAUAUUUAACUUUCGCCAAAAAUAAUCUCGCAUUCAUGCACUGAUAAAAAAAUUUAAAUUCAUGCAUUCUUCGGUUAAAAAAAAUAUAAAAGGUAAAAAAUUUAAAAACUCAUAGGAUUUAAUUUUUUUUAACCGAAGAAUGCAUGAAUUUUAAUGUUGCUGCGAAACAUGUACCCUGAUAGAUAUGGCAAAUGGAAUAGGACGUAAGUUAUUAUGUUGUGGUUUGUUUAUGAGAUUGUUGGAUGUUGGAAAUCCUAUCAGGAAACAACGAUGGAGAAAGAAUUUUUUUGCCCAUAAUUAAAUUAAAAACGAGUGCGAGUUCGGGACUUCCUUUUGUGCCUGAUAGAAAACUUUUUUUUUUUUUUGUUAGACUAAGUUUUGCUAUUACCAUAAAUAAGUCACAAGGGCAAACCAUUUUUAAUGCUGAAAUCUAUAUUCCACAACAUGUUUUCAACCAUGGUCAAUUAUAUGUAGUUUUAUAAAGAGGAAAUUUCUCAAAAUUCAACAAAAGUUCUCAUUAAAGUAAGAAAAAUACAACGAGAAAAUGAAGACUUUACAAAAAUAUAAUUUUUAAAGAUAUUCUUUUAUAGCAGUCAUAUGAUUUUUCCUUCACAUAACAAGUCAUUUAUGCAUUUAUGUUAUCAUUUUACUAAUUAUUAUUAUAAUAACUAUUAAAUGAUCGUUAUUUAUUUUAUUUUGUAUACAGACAAACAAAAAUACAUUGAGUUGAUAAAUAAUUUCAUGUGGAUAAAAUAUUACUAUUUUUUCACGUGGAUUGAGAUUAAGUGAUUUUAAGAUGGAAAAAUCACGAUGACUUUAAUGUGAUUUUGUGUAUUUUAUAAGAGAGAAAAAUAAAUAUAAAUUGACAUCAAUAUUUGAAUAUGCUCAAAGCUUUGCUAAGAAAUAUGUACAAUUUUUCUCUUUUUAGGAGUGUGACAAACAGGUUAAUAUUGAUAUGAAAAACAACUGCUUUAUGUUUUGAAUCAACACAACAUGAAUGUGAUAUUAACAUUGGGACCUUUAAUGAGGUAAUUAAUAAGGUGAAUAGAAUCAAACUAACAAACAAGCUUAUCAACUUUUAUAUCUUUACCCCUCAAAAAAAAAAAAAAACUUUUAUUUUUUUUUGACCAAAAUAAGACCAUGAUAAAUAGCAUAUUACUCAGCAAGCAUAAUGCCAUUGAAAAUCAUUGUUAAAUCAUUAUUAAUAUGAGCUUAAUUUCAUUGAACUCUAAUAAACACAUGGAGUAUAAUUGAACCUAAUUUAUGCAACAUCAUUUAGAUGAAGUCCACAAAUAUACGAUUUGGACAUGAUACUUUAUAAGUCACGUCACAAGAUCUUUAAAAAAAAAUAAAAAAUAAACUCAUGUCACAAGUUCCUUUGAGCCAAUUACAACAGAACGAGAUUUUUGCUUAGGUGAAUAAGAGAACCCAUUAGAGAAUUCCAUAACAGAAUUAUAUCUUCGAUAAUCAAUUUUGUCUGCAUAAUCAUCAACCCUUGAAUUAGAAGAUUGUUCUCCAUGGUAGUUGUAGUGCCCUUGAGCAGCUCCUAAUGAAAGACAUUCAUGUUUCCUUCUACUUUUCCUUUUCCUUUUAAUUACCCUUAAAAUCAUAUGCAGAAGACCCUGUAUAAUAUGUAUAUCACAACCUUAAUUCCUUCCUUCGUGAAGAAUAAUAAUAAGUUCAAAAUGAGAAAAGGAGAGAAACAAGAGAAUGUUGGUUUUUAGAAGCUUUUGAAAAUGGAUAAUUAUAGGUAUUUGAUGGAAAAUUAGCAAUUGUACUAACUUAUAUCGAAGUAAUAAAAUUUAUAAGAUUCGUAUCUAUAGGGACUGUUUCAACUUCUACUCGAGAAUGUCAUUAUUAUUAAGGAUGUUUGUAAAAUGGGGGGUGCACUGAGGCAAUUGGUUUGAUUUGCAAGUUAAAAUAAAAUGGUUAAGGUAAAAUUGGUUUGAGAAAUAACAUGGAGAGAUGACCAGGUCAUUCGAUUCAUCUGCUCAUCGCUCAUUAGCAACUUGUUUCUUAAGUCUACAAAUGUUAUAAAGUUUACGACAAAUUAACAAAAUAACUUAGGUCAAUCCCUUGAUCCUAAGUCCUCUUUUCUGAUUAUAAUUCCCUAAUCCCUUAGGUGAACCUAUAAUCAUAAAAGGUUUUAAGUCCGUUAAUUUAAGCAUCACAACCUAACAACGCACCAUCCCUAGAUUGUCCGUUAGAUUGAACAUUAUAAAUAUGUCAGAGUUUUACGCUAGUGUCAGUGGUCAUAUAUACUCUAAAAUCAAUUAUAUUGGGUCAAAAUCAUAAAAGCAUUAAGAACAAUUUAUACUGAAUAAACUAGAAUGACAUUCAUAAAGAUUAAGAGUUACAGGUUACAUAAACAUGAGCUAGAACAAAAUCAUCUCUUGACCUAAUCACAAAGGAUCUAGCUACUCAUGGCUAAAGCACAAAUAACUAAUAUGAAAGAAGGAUUCAUUACAUGAAAUUGGCAACCGGAUAUGAGUUUUGAUGGUCUCCCACCUUCUCUCCAGCUCCAAAAGUCAGUUUCUUUCUCCAAAAUUACCAACCCUUCCUUCAGAAAACAACUUCCCUUUCAUAGGAAAAUUUCCAGAAACGCUAAAAUCGUACUCCGAUGCUGUAAAUCGGAGCACGAUGGCUUCAUUAAAGUCAGAUCCUACCUGGAGUGUCUGCCAAAUCGUAGCCCGAUUUUCAUAAAUCGGAGCACAAUUUUUUACGAGACAAAAUGUCUCAAACUUGCAGUAAAAUCGUAGCCCGAUGCUGUAAAUUGGAGUACGAUUUCUUCUUUGUUUGCCAACAUCAAAUGUUUAAUUUGAAGCUUCUAUCUCAUGCAAAAUCACCUGAACUCUCAAAAGUACAUAAAAACCAAAAUAAAAGUAUGUAUGACCUAGUGUCAUCAGUAGUAGUAUAAAUAAAUGAUAUGAUGACAUGUUUUGUGUGCCAAGAAGAACAAUGUAACACAUUAAUUUAGUUAAUAUAAGUUUCGACUGAGCUAGUAGGGCAUGGUGCAUGCAAGUUAGUCAAAUAAAAUGAACUGUUUGACUUUUUCGGAAGAAGUAGCAAGUUAGUUAUUUUUAGGACUAUUUGACUUUUUAUUUGGACUAUCUGUAAUGUGUUAUGUGUACAGAUAAACUAACAAACAACUAUGGUCUUAUUUUAGGAAAAUGUCUUUUUCUUCUUAAACCUUGUUAUUCCACAAAAAAUCUCCUACCAUGAAGGUAAUGCAAGAGCCAAUUUGGUUUGUAUCAAUGUCUCACAUGUAAUGUUUUGAUCAUGAAAAAACUAAGGAACAUCAUCUAAUGUUGCAACAUCAACAACAUAUAUACAAGAACAAUUUAUCUACUAACUAUGUGUGUAAGUGUGCAGAAUUUCAUUUUUAAGUUGAACUCAAGAUUGUUAGGAGAUCCAACAAUGACAUGAUAAGGAUUUCCGAGAACAAAACAAUUGGUCAAGUUGAAUCAAAUUAAAGAUGAAGCAUCCUUUGGGUCAAUGGAAGUCAACGGGAAAGAUGAAGUAUCAUCCGGAUCGAACGUUGCUCAAGAAUAUUUUUUCAAUCACUAAUUUUGAUCCAUGCUUUUAAAUCAACUCAUGUCUAUCAUUAGAUAUUUUGACUUUCUUUCGCACUAAUAUUAUACAAUCUCUUACAAAUAUUAAGUCUUUUUAACAAAUAUGAAGUUUCUUUUUUAUGUUUUUUGCGUUUAAAAAUUCAUAUUUUGAUAAAAAAAAAAAAAAAACUAUUUUUUCUUGGCAGACAUUCUUAUACUAUUCUAAACAUUCAUAAAAAACUCAUUCAAAAUUUUGAUUAAUACAUAUGAUUUGACUUAAAAGCAGAAUUCAAACAUGGUGAUUGAAAACUUUUCGAAGACUAAAAGUUAAAGAAAUUUUUUAGCUUAAGUGAAACGAAAAGUAUGAAUAUUUAUUGAGACCCAAACAUAUUUAAUCCUAAAAACAAAUACUAGUUUAACAGUAUAAGAAUCGAUUAGAACAAGCAGAUUAAACUUUGGGAAUCGACUUUUUUUUAUUUUUUAUUGAGAGGUUAAGGAAUCAACAUCAUGUAGACAUUAUCCUUAAAAAAAAAAAAAACAUCAAGUAGAUAUUAUGUAUCGAUUUUUACAUGAUACAUAUCACAAACAAUAAACUUAAAUCAAUAUAGGAUGGAAAAAAUAGAUUGGGCACUAACCUCCGGACAUUGCAAUGUCAAAUUAAGAUUUCUCACCAUAAAUGCUGAUCUUUUUUGUUUUCCAAACCCUUACUCAAUCAGUAUGGUAUAGUUUUUUUUUUGUGCAACAAUUGUAUUAUGAUACGUUACAGAGGGCCUCAUUUUAAAAAAUAUGUUGUCUAGAGGCUUUACCAGACUACAUAGUAAACUGCCUACGGUUGGAAGAGAACUUAGAAACCAAUUGUGCUCGAGUAAAAAAAUCUCAAUAUCAUAUUCGUUUAGAAGAAAGACAGAAAAUGUGCUUUCAUCAUGGUCUUAGAGAACGACAAUUCUUAAAUAUGUUUGUAUCGUUGGAAAAGUGAAAGGUUCAACCGGUCAAGUUUUUACUACAAUUGGAUAACAUACCUUUUCGAUUGGGUAUGGCUUCGACUAUUCCUCAAUAGAGUUGUCCAUCACAAAGUUCAACUGUGUGCGUUACAUAGCGGGAUUUUUAUUUUGCACUUGAGAGUUAUUAAAAAAAUCGCUAAGAUAGAGCUUAUGUGAGGGUAGAAAAUACAACAACUAAUCUCCUACAAGCUUAUCCAUUAUCGACUAAUUUAUCCACUCUCUUCGAUAAACUCAUUUUCUCCAACUAACUUAUCAUAUAUCCGCUAUUUUUAUUUCUUCUCCAAACAGACCUUUAACAUUCAUAGAUCCAUCAAGAAGGUUUUCUUGUCGUCCCUAGCCGCGCUCUUGGAGCUCUACAUAUCACCUAUAAAUGUGAACUACUUGAGAUACUUCUAAUAAAUUAAUUAACUUCUUUAAUUGAUCAACACAAGUCAUAUAUUUUAACAAAUUCUAAGUUGAUUAUAAUUGAUUAACCUGAAUGAUCAAAUCGAAUUAUUCUCUAACAAAUACCAAAAAUAGUAGCAAAUAGUUAGCGGUAAUCAGAGACAUUAUCAAUACACCACACAAACACACAAUGAUAAAGUCAGAUAUUCAUUCCUCCAUAUAACAAAAAUAACAACUAACAUUGAUAUUUGAAAGAAGAAAAACGCACACAAUUGAAAUAGAAUAAAGUAGGUGGAAAAACCUCUAGUUUUUUUUAGUAAUAGGAAACAAAAAACCCUAGUCACAAGAAGUUACACAUAUAACAUAAUAACAUAAAAAAAUACUAGUUUGAUUCAUCACGUACAUCAUUUAGUCCAAUAAGACAUUAUCUUUUGAUGUUGAAUAUGGAUUCAUCAAUUUCACCAGCUUCUUCCUUCUUUUGUUAUUGUCAUUCUUCAAUUUUGUUUCAUCAAUGUCACCAACAAGACCACUAGUACUAGGUAGAACAUUCUCCUUCUUAUCUUCAUUAUCCAAAUCCUCAUCGAAGGUGUCAUGUAAAUGUUUAUCUGUUGACAUAUACACGAGUAUUUGAGCAGCAAUAACAACUUCACCACUCGAACGGCCUCUUUUACAGGUUUUAAACAAUCUUCGUGGCCAAGAUUUUGAUUCCUCAUCAAUAACCAAUUCCUUGGAAUUGAAUGCACUAAGAAAAUAUUGAUCUUGAUCAUAAUCAUGAUAAUCAAUAUUAUUAUCCUUAUUAGGGUUCAUACCCCGCCAUUCCCUUUCAGGAUGAGAUCUCAUGUGACCAUGUAAAGCCUUAUUGGAUUGGAAGUUCUUUUUGCAAACAUCACAACUUAAUUUUACAUCAUUAGAAUUGCAAUUAGCCUCUGCUUUCGACUCACCCUCUUUCCCUAGGGCUUGACUAUGGAUUCUUUUGUGACCACCUAAUCCUUUUCCACACCUAAAAAUUUUGUUACAUAAUUCACACUUGUGAAUUUUUGAACUUGUUGAUCCUUCAUCAUGAUGACGACCCUUUGGUUUUUCAUAAACUUUACAAGACUUAGAAAUUGAUGCUAAGCUUUUCUUCUUCUCUAUGGCUUUCAUGGAAUUUGCCCUAGUAUUCUAUUCAAAGAAAACAAUAAAAAAAAAAUUAGAAAAUUAAGUUACACUUAAAUAAAGAAUAUUUAAUAUAAAGGAAUGAGCAUAGAAAUUACCUGAUGUAUCCUACCAACAUCAAACUUAUUAUUAUUCUUCUUUUGGUCAUUGGGAUCCAUUGUGAAGUGAAAAUUAAGAUGUAUACGUAGUGUAUAGAAAGGAGGUGAUGAGAGGAGAGGGUUUAAUCUUAAGAUUUAAGAAAACCAAGAUUUUAUAUUUUACUAAUAUAAUGAGGAAUUAAGUGAUUUUUGCUCAUGUUCAUAAAAAAAAAGUGAUUUUACCUGAAGAGUAAUUUUUUGGGUGCAUAAAAAAAUUGAUUCAUUUCAUCUUUAUUUCUUGCUAAAAUUAAAUAAAUUGAUAUUUGAUUUUUCAACGAUUUUCCACGAUCCUGGUGUUUUUUAAAAGCAUUCCUUGAUCCUAGUAUCUUUCUCAAUUACUACAUUACUAAAUUUAGUUACAAAUUGCCUCAAUAUUAUUUUAUUUUUUUAUAUAAAAUGGUAGUCCACAUGUCGCACAGAUGGUUAAAUUCUUUUAUUUUGUUGAGCUUAACUCAGUUGGUAAGGACAAUGCAUAAUAUAUGCAAGGUUCAGGGUUCGAAUCUUGGACACCACAAAAAAAAAACUUUUAUUUUGUUAACCUUUUGGUUUAUGAGAGAAAUGACCUAAUAUUCCGUCGUAUUUGGUAUUUGGUCUGCGAUAUAAGGUAAGUAAAGUUUGAUUAGAUAUUUUCUUUCUUUCUUUUCUUUUUCUUGGAGAGGGAGGAUUUAUUUAUAUAUUAUAUAUAUGAUGUUUCAUUUAUUAAUUUUUAAAGAUUUUUUAUAAAAUAAAAAAUCUUAAGUUUAGGAAUCAAAUUGCGUCAAAAAAAAGUUGAGGUGUUAAAUUGGAUUUGAUCAAUAAAAAAAGGAAUUAAAUUGGUUUAUAUUAUUAAUAUUUUUUGGAGAGAUUUUGUUUUUUAUAUUUAAAUUUAUGCUUAAUGAAGAAACGUAUUAUUAUUUAUUCCACUUUUUCUUGGUUUGACAUAGGCAAGAAAAUAUGAGUGAAUUCCAUCUAUAUUUUUAUUUUAUUUUAUGAUGUGAUCUGAUUUCAUCCUAAAUAUACAGUUUUUUUUUUUUUUUUUGUCUUUGUAAUUUUUUUUUCAGCCCGUAACUCCUUACAAAUAUAUGUCACAUUUUAGUUUUGGUUUUUUAUUUUUUUGAGGUAUUGGUUUGUUUUAUAUGCAGAAAGAAAUGAGUGAAUGUUGUUGUGAUUUAUUCUUCCGCUAGAGAUUGGUUUUAAAUGGUGAAGGUACAAUAAAUUCUCUACCUUGAAUCAAGGAGAGAAUAAUUACAAAGAUGAAAAAGGAAACAAUAGAAAGCAUUUAGAACUUCUAGAAAUACCUAGAAAUAAUUAAAAAAAAAAAGGCUUAAAUGCAAUUUUACCCCCCCUAUUUUGAUUGAAUCUGAAUUUUACCUCCCCUAUUUUAAAACUCGGAAUUUUACCCCCUCUAUUUUGAUUGAAUCGGGAUUUUGCCUCCCUUAUUUUAAAACUCGGAAUUUUACCCCCUCUAUUUUACGUUUUUUUAGAAUUUUGCCCCCUAUUUUAAAAUAAAGAACAAAAAAAAUACUAAAAAAAAUAAAGAAACGAUUAGAAAAUAUUAAUUUGGUAAAAAAAUAUAAAGAAAACACAAAAAAAAACUAAAAAAUAAAAAAACAAUGAAAUUACAAGAAAAAAUUAAAUUAAGAAUACAUGAAAAAACUAGUUUGCACCUCUAAAUAUUUGUUAUUUUCAUGUAUCUUAAUACUAGUUUUUUAUUUUAUUUUUAGAGAUCAUACUAGUUUUAUGCAUUUUUUAAGCCUUAAUUAUUUGUAUUAAAUGUUUUUUAAUGAAAAAAUAAAAAUAAAACCAAAAAAAUACUAAAAAAAUGAAUAGAAAAUACUAGAAAAAAUGCAUAAAACUAGUAUGAUCUCUAAAAAUAAAAUAAAAAACUAGUACGAAAAUACAUGAAAAUAGCAAAUAAUUAGAGGUGCAAACUAGUUUUUUCAUGAAUUCUUAAUUGAAUUUUUUCUUGUAAUUUCAUUGUUUUUCUAUUUUUUAGUUUUUUUUUGUUGUGUUUUCUUGUUUUUCUUAUAUUUUUUUACCAAAUUAAUAUUUUCUAAUCGUUUCUUUAUUUUUCUAGUAUUUUUUGGUUCUUUAUUUUAAAAUAGGGGGUAAAAUUUUGAAAAAGGUAAAAUAGAGGGGGUAAAAUUCCGAGUUUUAAAAUAAGGGGGGUAAAAUUCCGAGUUUUAAAAUAGGGGGGGUGAAAUUCAGAUUCAAUCAAAAUAGGGGGGGUAAAAUUGCAUUUAAGCCAAAAAAGAAAAUUAAAAAUGCACAAAGAUUCUCCAACACAACCCCAUCAUGCCAACUUGAUUAGCAUUGUUGUAUCUUAUUAAGAUUUUGGUUAGGGUAUCCGCAAUUAGCUAACUAGAAAUCACAAAAGAUAGAUAUAUGAUUCCAAUAUCUAAUUUUUCUUUAUGAAAUGUUCAUCAAUCUCGAUAUACUUUGCAAUAUCAUGUUUCGAAUUGGGUCAAGGCCCAUUUUCUCAACAAAUUGGGUAACCUCAAGUCACUAUCGUUUGUGCAAACCAUGACAUGGACUUGCCCUAAAUCCCUUGAACUAAGAUAGGAUAAACUAAUCUCAUUCGUCAUUACUGAUAUCUGAAUAUGCUCACAUGUGUCCUCUUAUAACAUAUGUACGAAUAAGCUAGUAAGGGUUAGAGGACUCACAAACUCAAAUCCCUUACUAUAAAGGUUAACUCGUGACCUCUUUUCAGGUACACAUUUUUUUACCCAUAAAAAACUCACAUAAUUUAUGUUUUCUUACUUGAUCGUCAAAGUGUUUACAAAUACACCACCCCCUUAAAAAUCAUAGUAGUUUGCUCAACUAAUAUUGCCGUAAAAAGGUUUCUACUAUUGUUUGUCUUCAACAUUUUGGAGCCCCUAUUUUAAUCUUGGGUCUUCAAAAUUAAUAUAUAUGCAAAAAUUUGAACCAUAAAAAUUGGUAUCUUAAUGCUCAAAAUUUGACAUUUAUUGAUAUAAUUAAAUUCAAAAUUCAAAUUUAAAUAAUAUUUAAAAUACUUAAAUAUUUCUAUUUAAUGUUUUUUUUAUAAUUUUGGGUCCCACAAUUUGGAGGCCCUGUGCAAUAGGGCUGCUUAAUCGGCUCUGGUAUAACAUUUCAAACUGACUUUCCUCCAAAAAAAUAAAAUGAAAGCUAUUCUUUCGGCUAGAGCAUUAAAAUCAUUUAAUAAUUUAAUAAUAUUAUUAAAGAGUUACUUAUUAAUUGUUGCAGUUAAAAUAAUCAAAAUUGUUGGCAAAUUUGUUAAUUAAUGUUUUGUCUCGCAAAAAAUUGAAUCAAUCAAAUCAACCUAAACCGGCAUAAUUUUGGUUGGAUUUUUUUUAAAAGCGAACCUAACCAAAUCAAAGCGUGUGCUUUUAUCUUCAGUUCAGAUGACGUUUAGUCUAAAAACUAAACUGCACCACAAACAUCCCUAAUCUUGAUUAUAAAAAAAAAACUUUCAAUUGUAUGAUAAAAUAAAAUUAAAGAGCAAUGAUAUACAUCAUGAAUGAUUUUAUAGCAAAUGAGUCACGAAAUGCAAUCCGGCUAAUUAAAGUAUAGUUGCUGGCAGGAAAACAUUGGUCUACGCUCAAAUUUAUUUAUUUAUGGAGAAUGAUAACUAGUGCUCCAAGGGCAUUUAUGGAAUAAAGUUUUAAUAAAAAGUACUACUAGUAUAAUUAUUACUUGGUCAAAUGUAAUAUCUUACAUUUCCAGGAUAAAACUUUUACUUUUGAAUUCUUUAAUCAUUGCCCUUAGGACACUUAUCAACAAGAGAUUUGUUUGUUUAUUUAUUUUAAAUAAAUAUGAAAUCCAAUGGCAUGAAGUUGCCAACAAAUUCGCAAACCCUUUGAUCUCCAUUUAUAUAAGUGAGAUAUAAUGGACUAACAUCGACUUUUGUUUACAUGCGAAGGGAACCCAAUACACCACAAUAACUUGUACAAUAAGAUGAAUCAUACUAUCAUAUAACUUAUUAUGCCACAAUGCCACAUCUCUCAUUGUUUUGCUUUUGUCUUCAUUUUCAUUUCAACUCUAUUUUCUAUAACUUACCAUUUCUCAACCACCCCCAUGUAAUCCUACCUUGCAAAGCUACAUUUAAAGCCAUUCUAUAUUAAACCUCCUCAAAUUCAGAGAUAAGUAGCCCCUUUUAAGAGCAAUUUGCUAUAGCACAAGAUAAACAUAUGUACAAAUGUUAUCGUCCCAGGCCUCCACUUACGACACAUAAAACGGGGUUACGGGACUUAUGUUAAUGGAUCCUUUAAAUAAAUAUAUCGUUAUGCAUGGUUCAUGGUUAAUAGAGUUUUGUGUUGUUAAUUACAAUUUUCUCUUCUUUUAUUUUUUUGGCUUUUAGUGAGGAGAUGGCAACAAACCAAAGUGUUUUUUGUUCAAGUUUUGAUGAAUAAAAUGAGAACGAUGUUUUGGGGAAAGGAAAAAGUGAUAGCUCUAAUAGUCAUUGUAGUUGUUUAUCAACCUAAGGGAAUAACUUGGAAUAAUUUGCAUUGCAAAGCUCUAUUGAAGGAAUUGACAAGUUGAUAAAUGAAUGAAUCAAAUGUUAAGACGUGACUUAAAGUUCAAAAAUGUUUCAUUAAUAUCCACUUUCGUACACAUGCGACAUCUUGAUAAUCAUGUGUAAGAGUGUCGUUAAUCAUAUAGUUAAUUAGCUAUAAUUUUAACCAUGAAUUAAAUUAACUAUCUACUCAACUGAAUUAACAAAAUUUUGAACAUGAUUAACCAGAUAUCACAAAGGUGUUAAAGUGGUGUCCACGUAUCAUCAUUGCUUAAAGUUUUGGUAACAAAGGAAUCCAAGUUAAUUUUAUUGAUUGUUGAGCGUUGUAGUAAAAACUAAAAAAAAAUAGUUUUUUUUCUUCAGAAAAUUGUAAAGAAAGUUAUAAUGGAAUUAUGUUGAAGAAUUUAUUUCUUUUCAAAAACAAAAAUAAUCAAGAGAGGCACUAAUUGAGGUGUAGCAAUCACAAAUUAAUGUAGUUUUGUUGAAUGCCAUAGAUGUUAUAUAUUUUAGUAUGCAUGGACAAUUCUUAAUUAAGAAAGUUAACUAAAACUAGAAAAAAAGUGACAAACAUAAACUUAAGUUUGAUGAUAACUUGCAUCUUAUCCUAUCUGUACCUGUCACACAUCUUAAAUACUCCUGCUACAUAUUGCUCAAAAAUUAUAUUUAUCUAACCAAAAUUACCAGUCAAGUAUUUAAUUCAUACUUUAUGAAUUUCAACUGUAAUAUAUUGUUGAUUCAGAUACAGAAUGUUAACAUCAACAUCAACUAGGUUGUUGGUACAAACCUUUUACAACUUUUACUUUUUACUUUAAAUGAUGAACAUUUUACAAGUCAAAAAGCAGUCAUAUAUUACAGAAACUUUAAUAGGUAUCCAAAGUUUGCAAGGGCACAAAAGUUAACACUGCAUAACAUUUACUAACACAUAAGAUUAUAGUAAAUAAGUAAAAGUUACUGAACUUACAAAACAUAUAUAGUACUAAUAAUUAAUUAAAAUCAUGCUUCAAUUUCAAACCUUGAGUACUUGAUGGAUCCCAUUGAUAAAUCAAUCUCUAUAAAGUUUUCUUCCUCAUUCACUUCAUUUAAUUCUGAUAACAACUCCAUUAGACUUUGUUGACUGAAAAGUGCAUCACCAAAUAACUCCUUUUUCUUCUGCUGCAAACUAUAGUAAUCUGAUUCAUCUUUCUGCAUAUUCACAUAGUUUCCACUUGGAAGUGCAAUUUCAAUGAGACUUUCUUCAUCAGAAAUUGAUCCAUCUGAGUAAUCAUGGCUAUGAUCUACUUCAGAUCCUUCAGAAGUUGACAAAUGAUCUUCUUGGCUUUCACUUUCUGAUCCAUCAAUAUUAACUUCUUCUUGUGCUUCAUUUUCUUCAUUACUUUUCUCAUCAUCUGAAUUCAGAAACUUUUCUUCUACUAAUUUAUCAACAUUUACUUUUCUUUGCUUUGAUACAAUAAUAAUAUAGAGAAAAGUAGAAAAAACUAUUACCAUAGAUGUGUAGAGCAAAGAUAAAAAACCAUAUCCAACCAGAAGGUAACUGGAAAAAAGAAGCAAUAAAGCAAAAAGAGCCAUCCAUGAAGAUGAGCAAAUAGAGCAAAAACUCUUGAAUAUGCAAAAAUCAUAAGAAAACAUUUGAUUACAAGCUUUGCUUUCACACCCCAUAAUAAAUGGCAAAAAGACUACUAAUUAGUUUGUGACCUGCACAAAAUGUAAUUAAUUGUGUAAAGAGAAACAAAUGAAAAUAGUUAAUGAUGAUGUUAAUAAUAACAUAUAAGACUUUUAUCAACUUAGAUUAGAUCAAAAGGGUGUAACCAAAAAAAGAUUAGAUCAAAAGGGUUUUUAGAAAAAGGUGCAAUUAAGGUACUUUUAUUUUUUUGGUAGUAAUGCUACUCUUUAAUUUAAUCUUGUAUUUUUUUUCCUAACUCAAAGUGGAUAAGUCUUAUUACUUCACUACUUCACAUUGAUAUGUUUGAAAGAAGCAAGAAAAUGUAAUCUAAAGAGAAAGGGUUUGCUAGCUAUGGUUAAAGCAACUGAAGAGUAACAAUAGAUACUUGUAAUGAAAAAUAUUAUGAAGUUUUUGUUAUGAAAAAGAUCACAGUUCCCAAGUUUUGCAUUGGACCAAAAAAAGGGGUAAAAAGAAAGGGUUUUCAUUAUUAUAAUGAGCAAUUUGUCACACUAAUUUGGUUGUUUUUUCUGUAACUUAACAGAUUCUAUUGAAAAAUUUUCCCAAACCCUUACCACUAGUUUACUUCCUUGUACUAUUAUUUUUGUUUAAUAGCUUUGGAAUGUG
RNAcentral lists this long non-coding RNA (22992 nucleotides) under Medicago truncatula (barrel medic). RNAcentral describes it as "long non-coding RNA (MTRU_LNC003731)". The stretch from base 6207 to 6375 matches the Rfam family "MIR2619 microRNA precursor family". Lineage: Eukaryota; Viridiplantae; Streptophyta; Magnoliopsida; Fabales; Fabaceae. The record is from RNAcentral.